Molecule: long non-coding RNA, 259 nt
Organism: Drosophila ficusphila
Lineage: Eukaryota; Metazoa; Arthropoda; Insecta; Diptera; Drosophilidae
Exons: 2
Source: RefSeq, a predicted model, not a curated record
GACGGUCGUAUUACAAUGCGAGCCAUACAGUCUAACUUCUCUAUUUCAAAAGUACAUUUUCAAAAUUAUUUAUACGACAUGUUGGACACUCAAGGUUGAUUAACAAAUGGUGCAAGUUAAUACACUUGUGAGUUACACUUUGGAUUUGGAAAGAAAAAAUUAAUCAUACGACACGUUGGUUACUUACAUUAAACGUUAUUUUUAAAACAUUUAAACAUUCGAUUUUGUUACAAGUAAAAAAGACCAAAUAACUGUUCAA